GUGGGGAAUCUUGCGCAAUGGGCGAAAGCCUGACGCAGCCAUGCCGCGUGAAUGAUGAAGGUCCUAGGAUUGUAAAAUUCUUUCACCGGGGACGAUAAUGACGGUACCCGGAGAAGAAGCUCCGGCUAACUUCGUGCCAGCAGCCGCGGUAAUACGAAGGGGGCUAGCGUUGCUCGGAAUUACUGGGCGUAAAGGGCGCGUAGGCGGACAGCUUAGUCAGAGGUGAAAGCCCAGGGCUCAACCUUGGAAUUGCCUUUGAUACUGGCUGUCUUGAGUUUGGGAGAGGUGAGUGGAACUCCGAGUGUAGAGGUGAAAUUCGUAGAUAUUCGGAAGAACACCAGUGGCGAAGGCGACUCACUGGCCCAAUACUGACGCUGAGGCGCGAAAGCGUGGGGAGCAAACAGGAUUAGAAACCCUUGUAGUCC
This 425-nucleotide ribosomal RNA is filed under the name uncultured bacterium. Its description in RNAcentral is "partial 16S ribosomal RNA". It matches the Rfam family "Bacterial small subunit ribosomal RNA", at positions 354 to 796 of the family's 1533-position model. The record is from RNAcentral.